CGUCUUGCAUUGACAGCUUAUAGCCCUGUCUGUACGGUGCUCCGGCGUGACCGAGGAAGCCGGGCAGCCCUUGCCCAUUGUGGUGCACGCCGAAUGGCGGGGCCUCCCGACAGGAGCAAACCGUGCGGUGUGGACUGCAUGCAGUGCUCACUGUUGCGGUGAACUCGUGCCGGAGAGUGCCACUGGUGUGCCAGUGCUGCUGGUGUUCAGAU
This 212-nucleotide unclassified non-coding RNA is filed under the name Hyrtios erectus. RNAcentral's name for it is "sequence contains 28S rRNA gene". The record is from RNAcentral. Lineage: Eukaryota; Metazoa; Porifera; Demospongiae; Dictyoceratida; Thorectidae.